UCGGUUCUUCUAUGUCGGUUUUUUCUAAUGGGUCUCCGCCUCGUGCGGCUGCAGCCUUGUGCUGAUGCCUGACCCUCGGUUUCGACUUGCUCCCGGUGGGCUUUCCGCCUGGUACCUGCAGUGGGCUCCCUCUCGAAAGGGAGGGGCCAAUGGUCCCUGCAGCGUCCUUUGGGUGGAGGCCACGAAUGCAGUCGCACUGUCCCAUGCCUGUAGUAAUGAGUGUUUUUGUUUCUUAGGCAGCAAUGCCUGGAAUGUAAUCAAUUA
This 264-nucleotide unclassified non-coding RNA is filed under the name uncultured fungus. Its description in RNAcentral is "sequence contains ITS1, 5.8S rRNA gene". The record is from RNAcentral. Lineage: Eukaryota; Fungi.